CAGAAAUGACCUCUAAGAAGCUCUGUUAAAGGUGGGGAAUUUUUUGGCUCCUGUAACCAAAUCAUGGAAAUGCAAGGAAGCCACUGGCCCUGUCACAGCUGGUUUGGGGGAUGGCAUCCUGCCAUCUCUUUCUAUUUUUAUUCUUAUCUUUGGAAGUUAGCUGUUCGCUCUUUCAGGCCUGGUUACAUGACCUGUUGGUGGCUGUGAAAUCAUGUCUUUGCAGCGUCUGAUGAAACCAAGGAGUCCUGCUCUCUGUGAUUCAGAACAGCUUCAAAAUGUAGGGGCCCAGGAAAAUCUGUUUUUGACCAGGCUUGGAUCAUAUGCUUACAUCUUGGCUCAUCUCUGGAUGCAACAGGAGAAGUACUGUGUCUAAGGGAUGUGCUCUCAUCAGUGGUCAAGGAGGUGGCCUGUUCCAGAGCUUGGAACCUGUGUUUGUUCUCCCCCAAGCUCUCAUCCCUGCUGGCUUCUUCCCUGGGAAGGCGGCCUGGGACCAGGCCAAGGAUCUAUGGAAAAUUGCAGCUAAGCUUGCAUAAGUAAACCUUGGAAGAGGGGAGGCUGAGGAAUGCCCAGAAUGGAAGGAUGCUGCGGCCUGUCCUGAGCUUUCCAGCCUGCCGAGCUAUGAGCCUUCAAGAAGGCUCUGGUGGCAGUGCCUGAAUGGGCAGCAAAAUGCCAAAGGCAAGUGGCCAGAGGAAGAGCAGCAACCCGGACAUUCAACCUCUGGAAAAAUGAAAAUUCACUGGAGUCUCGUCUCAUUUCAGAGAGCAGGAGCUGCCUGGUUUCUAAACUUGGAAGUGCUGAGUCUCAAAUGCCAGGGCACAGCGUAUAACAUGGAAAAAAUGAAACCCUCUUCUGUUGCAUCCAACUGCAUGGUCACUGAGAACAGCAAAGUAGUAGUCAUUCUUGAAGUGUGUGCAAGGAAGAUCAGCAAAAGGAAGUCACAGCCUAGGAUUUCUGAAGAGCCUGCCUCAGAUUAUUGCCCCUCCACUGAGCCUGGGCCUCCCUCUGAAUUUAAACGAGCUGAUACUUUUGUGGACAACACAAUGGUGAGGUCACGCUGA
Molecule: long non-coding RNA, 1058 nt
Filed under: Capra hircus (goat)
Lineage: Eukaryota; Metazoa; Chordata; Mammalia; Artiodactyla; Bovidae
Description: lncRNA (ENSCHIG00000003730.1)
Source: RNAcentral